This 636-nucleotide ribosomal RNA is filed under the name Papiliotrema laurentii. Its description in RNAcentral is "partial 26S ribosomal RNA". Lineage: Eukaryota; Fungi; Basidiomycota; Tremellomycetes; Tremellales; Rhynchogastremaceae. The record is from RNAcentral.
CAUAWUAAUAAGCGGAGGAAAAGAAACUAACAAGGAUUCCCCUAGUAACGGCGAGUGAACCGGGAAGAGCUCAAAUUUGAAAUCUGGCGUCCUCAGGGCGUCCGAGUUGUAAUCUAUAGAGGCGUUUUCCGUGCCGGACCGUGUCCAAGUUCCUUGGAACAGGAUAUCAAAGAGGGUGACAAUCCCGUACUUGACACGACGACCGGUGCUCUGUGAUACGUCUUCUACGAGUCGAGUUGUUUGGGAAUGCAGCUCAAAAUGGGUGGUGAGUUCCAUCUAAAGCUAAAUAUUGGCGAGAGACCGAUAGCGAACAAGUACCGUGAGGGAAAGAUGAAAAGCACUUUGGAAAGAGAGUUAAACAGUACGUGAAAUUGUUGAAAGGGAAACGAUUGAAGUCAGUCGUGACCGAGAGGCUCAGCCGGUUCUGCCGGUGUAUUCCCCUCGGUCGGGUCAACAUCAGUUUUGUCCGGUGGAUAAGGGCGGUAGGAAGGUGGCACCCUCGGGUGUGUUAUAGCCUGCCGUCGCAUACAUCGGGUGAGACUGAGGAACGCAGCUCGCCUUUAUGGCCGGGGUUCGCCCACGUCCGAGCUUAGGAUGUUGACAUAAUGGCUUUAAACGACCCGUCUUGAAACCSGG